GAAGAGAUGGCCGAGUGGUUGAAGGCCUAAUAUUGGAAUUGUUUACCGAGGGUUCGAAUCCCUCUCUUUCCA
Turnera subulata is the source of this 72-nucleotide non-coding RNA. Lineage: Eukaryota; Viridiplantae; Streptophyta; Magnoliopsida; Malpighiales; Passifloraceae. The record is from the annotation of a GenBank genome assembly.